RNAcentral lists this ribosomal RNA (231 nucleotides) under Citrobacter rodentium. RNAcentral's name for it is "partial 23S ribosomal RNA". It matches the Rfam family "Bacterial large subunit ribosomal RNA", at positions 2712 to 2925 of the family's 2925-position model. Lineage: Bacteria; Pseudomonadati; Pseudomonadota; Gammaproteobacteria; Enterobacterales; Enterobacteriaceae. The record is from RNAcentral.
GUGUUCGGGUUGUCAUGCCAAUGGCACUGCCCGGUAGCUAAAUGCGGAAGAGAUAAGUGCUGAAAGCAUCUAAGCACGAAACUUGCCCCGAGAUGAGUUCUCCCUGAGACCUUGAGUCUCCUGAAGGAACGUUGAAGACGACGACGUUGAUAGGCCGGGUGUGUAAGCGCAGCGAUGCGUUGAGCUAACCGGUACUAAUGAACCGUGAGGCUUAACCUUACAACGCCGAAG